GAUGAACGCUGGCGGCGUGCCUAAUACAUGCAAGUCGAGCGAACGGACGAGAAGCUUGCUUUUCUGAUGUUAGCGGCGGACGGGUGAGUAACACGUGUAUAACCUACCUAUAAGACUGGGAUAACUUCGGGACACCGGAGCUAAUACCGGAUAAUAUUUUGAACCGCAUGGUUCAAUAGUGAAAGACGGUCUUGCUGUCACUUCUAGAUGGAUCUGCGCUGCAUUAGCUAGUUGGUAAGGUAACGGCUUACCAAGGCAACGAUGCAUAGCCGACCUGAGAGGGUGAUAGGCCACACUGGAACUGAGACACGGUCCAGACUCCUACGGGAGGCAGCAGUAGGGAAUGUUACGCAAUGGGCGAAAGCCUGACGGAGCAACGCCGAGUGAGUGAUGAAGGUCUUCGGAUCGUAAAACUCUGUUAUUAGGGAAGAACAUAUGUGUAAGUAACUGUGCACAUCUUGACGGUACCUAAUAAGAAAGCCACGGCUAACUACGUG
RNAcentral lists this ribosomal RNA (497 nucleotides) under uncultured bacterium. Its description in RNAcentral is "partial 16S ribosomal RNA". It matches the Rfam family "Bacterial small subunit ribosomal RNA", at positions 28 to 507 of the family's 1533-position model. The record is from RNAcentral.